RNAcentral lists this ribosomal RNA (496 nucleotides) under uncultured bacterium. Its description in RNAcentral is "partial 16S ribosomal RNA". It matches the Rfam family "Bacterial small subunit ribosomal RNA", at positions 29 to 507 of the family's 1533-position model. The record is from RNAcentral.
AUGAACGCUGGCGGCGUGCCUAAUACAUGCAAGUCGAGCGAACAGAUGAGGAGCUUGCUCCUCUGACGUUAGCGGCGGCCGGGUGAGUAACACGUGGAUAACCUACCUAUAAGACUGGGAUAACUUCGGGAAACCGGAGCUAAUACCGGAUAAUAUAUUGAACCGCAUGGUUCAAUAGUGAAAGACGGUUUUGCUGUCACUUAUAGAUGGAUCCGCGCCGCAUUAGCUAGUUGGUAAGGUAACGGCUUACCAAGGCGACGAUGCGUAGCCGACCUGAGAGGGUGAUCGGCCACACUGGAACUGAGACACGGUCCAGACUCCUACGGGAGGCAGCAGUAGGGAAUCUUCCGCAAUGGGCGAAAGCCUGACGGAGCAACGCCGCGUGAGUGAUGAAGGUCUUCGGAUCGUAAAACUCUGUUAUUAGGGAAGAACAGAUGUGUAAGUAACUAUGCACGUCUUGACGGUACCUAAUCAGAAAGCCACGGCUAACUACGUG